GUGGGAAUAGGUUAUAUCCUCUGAGCAGCCACUACCUAUCAGGCACUUGUGGCCUCAACAGCUGUUUUCCAAAGGCUGAGGUGUUGGAAGAUUACUUAUCAUGCACCCGUGUAUCUUUGGCUCCUGUGCAGGUGUGUUGCAUAAAAAUAACUAUCAUUUAUUACACACCUGCUAUGUACUUGGUAUUUUAAAUGUGUUGCUCCUAACUCCCAUAACACCUCUGAUGAGUAGGAUAUGGUGCACUAAUUUUACAGAGGAGAAAAGUCAAAUUCAGACAUGGAAGUGUUAUGGCGAGAUUGCAAUAAAUCACUAAGUCGAUCUUAGAGCAGGAGAUGGAAACUUAUUCACCAGCUGGUGGUCCGGAUCCACCAACUGACAGGCCAAGUCUACACCCUUUGACCCCCUCCUGGGGUCUGAGUAUACCUUUUGUAGUCCCAAACCAUAUUAAUCAUAAGUGGCUGUUGCUAUGAUUCAAAACCAUAAACAAAUAUCAUGAGAUCUAAAAUCAUAAGCAGAAGAGCGAGUGGGUCAAAACAUCCUUAGUUGAGCACAAGUUAAAGAAUGGUUACCAACAUCUAGACAAACCAAUCUCUGAGAAAAAUGAGAACCAAAGAGAGAACUAUUUUACAUUGUAUAAGAAUUGCCAUUUUGUGUUGCCAAACAUGCUAAGCUAAGCGACUGUUGAUAGGUAGAGAGGCAGGGCUUUCCCAGGGAAGAAGCAGUUUUACAUGAUGUGGAGUCUCAGGGUUAGAUGGAGUCUGUUUGGUAAUGACCAAAUCUAGGCCCAUGUAGCCUGGCCCAUAACAGAAGGGUUUGCAGGUGAUGACAGGGUCCUUUCUUGUUACCUCUGGAAUCUUCUCCAGGGUCCUGGGUCUGUCCGCAGGGCAGGGUUGUCAAGGGAACUAUGGGAAUCUGGGAUGUGAGACGGACAGAUGGGGGUGCCAAGGUUCCCUUUGAGCAAAUAGUGGCGGUGAUUCAAUGCCACAGGGAGGUGAUAGAACAUGUUCCGCUAGCAGAAGUUCACUUAGGAGACCUGAGUUUGAGCCAAAGACCAGAGUAGGCUCCCCAGUGAGCCACAGGAGACAGGAGUCAGACUUAAGAUGUCAUUCAGUUGAGUUGCUUGACUGAGUAGUUUAAUAAACGAAGUAGCCUGGGCUCCUCAGAUAUCAAGGUCUUUGCUCCAUUUCCCCCAAUUCCUAGUUUGACAAAGGAAGAGAAAAGUAAUCAGAGCCACAAAGCCAGGUCUUGGUCCUGUGGCCUUAAGCUAAUUCUCAGAGCCUUAAUUUCCAUUUUUGUUAAAAUGGGUUGAUAUUUCAUUCUAUUUGGGGAAAAAUUCAAUGAGAAAAAGAUCUGAUAAACCAC
This 1362-nucleotide long non-coding RNA is filed under the name Marmota monax (woodchuck). The record is from RNAcentral. Lineage: Eukaryota; Metazoa; Chordata; Mammalia; Rodentia; Sciuridae.